CCCAACUGUCUCCUAAGCCUGUAGACGGCAUCCUGGGAAAAUUGGCAGAAGCCAGCAAAGGCUAAGAAUUCUUGCCAAAGUCCUCUCUCCCAGAUCUUUGAUGCCAGGAUGACAAAGGAAGAUUUUCUUGGAGAAUCCAAAUUCUUUGUCCUCUGCAGUACAGAAGUGAAUAGGAAAUAAUCCAUGCUGGCCAAGAAGGCAAAGAUGACAAAACAGAAGCCUAAUUCGUUCAGUAAACUGCAAGUGCUUCUCUUGUGUCAGCAAAUGACAGAGUCAAAACUCUAUUCCAGGUGAGUCUGAUCCCAAUGCCCAUGCAUUUAACCACUAUUAAUGGAUUAAAAGAGACUAUUACUCCAGAAAGCCAAAAGUGGAAAAGGGACGAAGGUGGGGAAAUGGAGAAGUGGGAAGUGGUGCUUCCCUUUCCUGAACUCAAACCAGUUAGACAGUUGUUAACCAAGAAGUGAAUUCUCUUGUAUGAUAUAAACGAAUGUAAUUCUCUUGUUAAAAAAGCAGGACUGGACAUAGAUACUUCUGGCAGGAUUGGUGUGAGUGUAUUUCCCAAAUGCACUCUUUUCAUUUAGUUGCUUGGUAGGCAAUUCCUGCUUUAGCUGCUGUGUUCUCCAAACCACAGAUGCACAUGUGUAGAUCUCCAUGAGUUUCUUGUGAAGUGCCUCUUCAGAGAUUUGAGACAAGGAGAUAAUCCCCCACCGUAAAAUGCACACACACACUCUUGACCCUGGGGAGUGGGAAGAACACAGAGCGUACCCACUUUGAAGAAUCCACCUCCCACCACCCAGCUUCUCCGACUUGAAUACCUUUAUU
Molecule: long non-coding RNA, 822 nt
Organism: Felis catus (domestic cat)
Lineage: Eukaryota; Metazoa; Chordata; Mammalia; Carnivora; Felidae
Exons: 3
Source: RefSeq, a predicted model, not a curated record